AUCUGUAUAGUAUAGAAGUAUAUUU
RNAcentral lists this transfer RNA (25 nucleotides) under Drosophila melanica. RNAcentral's name for it is "partial tRNA-Gly". RNAcentral also lists the same sequence under 1 other name. The record is from RNAcentral. Lineage: Eukaryota; Metazoa; Arthropoda; Insecta; Diptera; Drosophilidae.